UACGUAGGGGCCUAGCGUUGUCCGGAUUUAUUGGGCGUAAAGAGCUCGUAGGCGGUUUGGUGAGUCGGGUGUGAAAUCUCCACGCUCAACGUGGAGGAGCCACCCGAUACUGCCAUGACUAGAGUCCGGUAGGGGAGUGUGGAAUUCCCGGUGUAGCGGUGAAAUGCGCAGAUAUCGGGAGGAACACCGGUGGCGAAGGCGGGUCUCUGGGCCGGAACUGACGCUAAGGAGCGAAAGCGUGGGGAGCGAACAGG
RNAcentral lists this ribosomal RNA (254 nucleotides) under uncultured bacterium. Its description in RNAcentral is "partial 16S ribosomal RNA". It matches the Rfam family "Bacterial small subunit ribosomal RNA", at positions 524 to 776 of the family's 1533-position model. The record is from RNAcentral.